AGGGUAAUCCGCAACCUCUAAAAAAAUGCUAGUAUACCUUCAAGUAGAGGGGUAAUCCACACUCUACUAAGAAAGAACUAGCUCUGAUAUCUCAAGUUAAUGUAGUCUCGACAAACUGUCUCGGACACAAAAUACAGACUUGAAAUCUAAUAAGAAGUUCAAGAAGAAGUGACAGAACUAGAUUAAACAGAUGAGUACAAGAACAACACCAGAAAGGUGAGCUAGAACUCCAAGAGAUGUG
RNAcentral lists this long non-coding RNA (241 nucleotides) under Physcomitrium patens. RNAcentral's name for it is "long non-coding RNA (PPAT_LNC014773)". Lineage: Eukaryota; Viridiplantae; Streptophyta; Bryopsida; Funariales; Funariaceae. The record is from RNAcentral.